RNAcentral lists this long non-coding RNA (270 nucleotides) under Lathyrus oleraceus (garden pea). RNAcentral's name for it is "Pisum sativum (pea) long non-coding RNA (PSAT_LNC006755)". The record is from RNAcentral. Lineage: Eukaryota; Viridiplantae; Streptophyta; Magnoliopsida; Fabales; Fabaceae.
AAUGGUUUUUGGUUCAGAGUCAAUGUUACUAUUAUUUUCACUGUCUUUGGUCAUUAUCCUUCUUUUCCUCUAUUAUUUUUUUUAUUGCUCUGGUUUUUCUUUGUUAUUCUUGUUUUUCAACCGAGUGCCCUUCUUUGGCCAUUCCUUAUUUUGAACCCUCGAGUUUAUUUUCUCUUUUUUUUUCCUCGAUGAUUCUCUUUUUUUUUCCACACUCACCUUGACUUUUGAAAUUUAUGGGGUGUUACCCCAAACUUAGAAUUUCAACACAAC